Molecule: transfer RNA, 73 nt
Filed under: Ictidomys tridecemlineatus (thirteen-lined ground squirrel)
Lineage: Eukaryota; Metazoa; Chordata; Mammalia; Rodentia; Sciuridae
Description: Spermophilus tridecemlineatus (thirteen-lined ground squirrel) tRNA
Rfam family: tRNA
About the family: Transfer RNA (tRNA) molecules are approximately 80 nucleotides in length. Their secondary structure includes four short double-helical elements and three loops (D, anti-codon, and T loops). Further hydrogen bonds mediate the characteristic L-shaped molecular structure. tRNAs have two regions of fundamental functional importance: the anti-codon, which is responsible for specific mRNA codon recognition, and the 3' end, to which the tRNAs corresponding amino acid is attached (by aminoacyl-tRNA synthetases). tRNAs cope with the degeneracy of the genetic code in two manners: having more than one tRNA (with a specific anti-codon) for a particular amino acid; and 'wobble' base-pairing, i.e. permitting non-standard base-pairing at the 3rd anti-codon position.
Source: Rfam by way of RNAcentral
GGUGGUGUAGCUCUGUGGUAGAGCACUUGCCUUGCAUGGGCAAGGCCCUGGAUUUCCAUCCCCAGCAACACCG